RNAcentral lists this ribosomal RNA (268 nucleotides) under uncultured bacterium. RNAcentral's name for it is "partial 16S ribosomal RNA". It matches the Rfam family "Bacterial small subunit ribosomal RNA", at positions 335 to 601 of the family's 1533-position model. The record is from RNAcentral.
UGCCUACGGGGCGCAGCAGUGAGGAAUAUUGGUCAAUGGGCGCGAGCCUGAACCAGCCAAGUAGCGUGAAGGAUGACUGCCCUACGGGUUGUAAACUUCUUUUAUAAAGGAAUAAAGUGAGGCACGUGUGCCUUUUUGUAUGUACUUUAUGAAUAAGGAUCGGCUAACUCCGUGCCAGCAGCCGCGGUAAUACGGAGGAUGCGAGCGUUAUCCGGAUUUACUGGGUGUAAAGGGCGCGUAGGCGGACUGUCAAGUCAGUCGUGAAAUA